UCAAGGCAUGCUUGUUGUACAGGUCC
Molecule: non-coding RNA, 26 nt
Filed under: Rattus norvegicus (Norway rat)
Lineage: Eukaryota; Metazoa; Chordata; Mammalia; Rodentia; Muridae
Source: RNAcentral